GACGAACGCUGGCGGCGUGCCUAAUACAUGCAAGUAGAACGCAGUUGCGAACGGGUGAGUAACGCGUAGGUAACUGCCUCAUAGCGGGGGAUAACUAUUGGAAACGAUAGCUAAUACCGCAUAAUGUGAGAUGGACCUGCGUUGUAUUAGCUAGUUGGUGAGGUAAAGGCUCACCAAGGCGACGAUACAUAGCCUACCUGAGAGGGUGUGCGGCCACACUGGGACUGGGUAACGGCCCAGACUCCUACGGGAGGCAGCAGUAGGGAAUCUUCGGGAAAGGGCGGAAGUCUGACCGGGCAACGCCGCGUGAAUGAAGAAGGUUUUCGGAUCGUAAAGCUCUGGUGUUAGAGAAACGGUAACUAACCAGAAAGGGACGGCUAACUACGUGCCAGCAGCCGCGGUAAUUC
Molecule: ribosomal RNA, 407 nt
Filed under: uncultured bacterium
Lineage: Bacteria
Description: partial 16S ribosomal RNA
Rfam family: Bacterial small subunit ribosomal RNA
Source: RNAcentral